This 1314-nucleotide long non-coding RNA is filed under the name Rattus norvegicus (Norway rat). RNAcentral's name for it is "long non-coding RNA NONRATT033797". Lineage: Eukaryota; Metazoa; Chordata; Mammalia; Rodentia; Muridae. The record is from RNAcentral.
GCUCCGGCCUCGGCCGCACCCCCGCCGGCUCGCCGCCGCCGCCUCCCCACAGCGGACUAGUCUGCGAGGGCGGCGACCAGCCCGGCUUAUUUAAAAGGGGUGGGGACCCGACAAGCGCUGGGAGACGCAGCCACUGCGGGCCGAGAGCGCGGCCGGAGCUCCUCCUCCUUCCGUCGCCGCCUCCGGACUGAAGGCCGCUAGCCGGCUCCUGCCAACCGGAACGCGCUCCGCGGUCACCUGGUGACGGGUAGCCAAUCAGACCUGGAUUUCCCUCCACGCACCCGCCUACGGCCCAGGCACGUGACUCACAAAGCCCCUCCCCGUCCCUCAAGCUGAGCCGCGCGGACUCUGAUUUCCAUUCAUCGCGAGCUGAGCGGAGUUGGGCUCCAGCUUGGCAGCUGCGGCAGUUUGUUACUCGAGGCCGCGCUUCAAGGCGGGCCCCGAAGGCCCAGCCUGGUGGAGAGUUGAUUUUAUCAGCAGUGUGGUUUCUCCAUGUUUGACAGCUUCCCUUUGCUCACCCAAUGUGUAUCCAGCAAUCCAUGCUCCCAGUACAUUCAGGCAAAUGAGAAGCAAAGAUUUGGAGAAUCUAGCUGUAUAAGUUCACACUGCGGAUCUUGAGCAUUUACUUAAGCACUGAUGACAGAGAAUGAACACUACAUUACAACGUGGGAAACCACAGUGGAAGGAAAGUGUAGUUAAGUCCUCAAGACUCGAUGACUGCAUUCUAAGGCACCUGCCAGAACCAUGUGAUAGUCUGGACGUUUCCUGGCCUCCUUGUAAAGAAGAUAAAGGGACACCCACACCCUUGGAUGUGUUUCUGAGUGUUGUCCUGAUCUUUCCAAACAUUUCAUCAGAAGACCCAGAUAGUAGUGUGGGCCAAAGAACAGAGCCAGCCUUUGUGCUGAGGAUCCCAUCACCACCCAUUGCUGAAGAAGAAUCAGGCCCCAGGACGGUAUGGAAAACACACCUGACACUACAAAUCUAGACUGUGAAACUGGCUCUCACCACAUGCCGUCUUCUCACCCUUCUCCACUGAAAAAGAAAAGGGAAAUGUAUGAUAACCAAUUAGAAGAGGACAGGGAAUCCUCUAUUAAAGCUUAAUAGUAAUUACUAUAUUUAGCUUCUUACAGAACUAAAAAAUACAUAUUAUUGUAAAGAUGUUAAGAACUGCACAUAAAGAUGAAAAUAAAACCAGACCCCAUCCCAGGAUACCCCUGCUUUUUUAGCAUUUUAUGGCAUACUUCCCUAAACUUUAAUAAAAUGUUUCAGUGAUUUAAAAGUGAAACAGUGCUACCUAUAUAGUUUCUCUGUCUU